AACGAACGCUGGCGGCAUGCCUAACACAUGCAAGUCGAACGAGACCUUCGGGUCUAGUGGCGCACGGGUGCGUAACGCGUGGGAACCUGCCCUUAGGUUCGGAAUAACUCCCCGAAAGGGGUGCUAAUACCGGUUAAUGUCUUCGGACCAAAGAUUUAUCGCCUUUGGAUGGGCCCGCGCUGGAUUGGCUAGUUGGUAGGGUAAAAGCCUACCAAGGCGACGAUCCAUAGCUGGUCUGAUAGGAUGAUCAGCCACACUGGGACUGAGACACGGCCCAGACUCCGACGGGAGGCAGCAGUGGGGAAUAUUGGACAAUGGGCGAAAGCCUGAUCCAGCAAUGCCGCGUGAGUGAUGAAGGCCUUAGGGUUGUAAAGCUCUUUUACCCGGGAUGAUAAUGACAGUACCGGGAGAAUAAGCACCGGCUAACUCCGUG
RNAcentral lists this ribosomal RNA (433 nucleotides) under uncultured bacterium. RNAcentral's name for it is "partial 16S ribosomal RNA". It matches the Rfam family "Bacterial small subunit ribosomal RNA", at positions 29 to 507 of the family's 1533-position model. The record is from RNAcentral.